UUCCUCGUGGCCCAAUGGUCACGGCGUCUGGCUACGAUUCAGUGGUUACUUCUGAAACCAGAAGAUUCCAGGUUCGACUCCUGGCGGGGAAG
This is a transfer RNA of 92 nucleotides. It matches the Rfam family "tRNA". Rfam says of the family: Transfer RNA (tRNA) molecules are approximately 80 nucleotides in length. Their secondary structure includes four short double-helical elements and three loops (D, anti-codon, and T loops). The record is from Rfam.